RNAcentral lists this ribosomal RNA (253 nucleotides) under uncultured bacterium. RNAcentral describes it as "partial 16S ribosomal RNA". It matches the Rfam family "Bacterial small subunit ribosomal RNA", at positions 524 to 776 of the family's 1533-position model. The record is from RNAcentral.
UACGUAGGGCGCAAGCGUUGUCCGGAAUUAUUGGGCGUAAAGAGCUCGUAGGCGGCCUGUUGCGUCCGCUGUGAAAGCCCGGGGCUUAACCCCGGGUCUGCAGUGGAUACGGGCAGGCUAGAGGUAGGCAGGGGAGAAUGGAAUUCCCGGUGUAGCGGUGAAAUGCGCAGAUAUCGGGAGGAACACCGGUGGCGAAGGCGGUUCUCUGGGCCUUACCUGACGCUGAGGAGCGAAAGCGUGGGGAGCAAACAGG